RNAcentral lists this unclassified non-coding RNA (274 nucleotides) under Tomentella sublilacina. Its description in RNAcentral is "partial internal transcribed spacer region". The stretch from base 1 to 46 matches the Rfam family "Eukaryotic small subunit ribosomal RNA", at positions 1786 to 1831 of the family's 1831-position model. Lineage: Eukaryota; Fungi; Basidiomycota; Agaricomycetes; Thelephorales; Thelephoraceae. The record is from RNAcentral.
AAGUCGUAACAAGGUUUCCGUAGGUGAACCUGCGGAAGGAUCAUUACCGAAUUGUCAAACGGGUUGUUGCUGGUCCUUGAAAGGGGACACGUGCACACUCUGUUUACACAUCCACUCACACCUGUGCACCCUCCGUAGUUCUAUGGUCUGGGAGACCCUGUCUUCCUGCUGUGGUUCUACGUCUUUACACACACACUGUAACAAAGUCUCAAGGAAUGUAUGCAGCGUCUAACGCAAUACAAUACAACUUUCAGCAACGGAUCUCUUGGCUCUC